Small nucleolar RNA from Lagopus muta (rock ptarmigan), 68 nucleotides. RefSeq annotates it as small nucleolar RNA SNORD58. The transcript has a single exon. NCBI's taxonomy places the organism in Eukaryota, Metazoa, Chordata, Aves, Galliformes, Phasianidae. The record is from RefSeq and is a predicted model, not a curated record.
UUGCUGUGAUGACUUUUCUUAGGACACCUUUGGAUUCAACGUGAAAAGAAACUUGUAUUCUGAGCAAU